Molecule: long non-coding RNA, 2883 nt
Organism: Camelus dromedarius (Arabian camel)
Lineage: Eukaryota; Metazoa; Chordata; Mammalia; Artiodactyla; Camelidae
Exons: 3
Source: RefSeq, a predicted model, not a curated record
CGGACUCACCCGCCCCGGGGCCGCCCGAGGCUCCACACGCGCGACGACGCCGGAAACGGGCCCCGAACGCCCGCGCCCACUCUGUCCCGGAGACUUCCGGCCGCUCUGGGCGGUUCGGAGGCUCGGGCGACUCGGUGGUUCCCAGCCCAGCAGCCCGGUGGGCAGGCGGCGGGGCCAGAUCGUCCGGGAAAAGACGCGUCUGGGGAGUGAGGCGGCGGAGCCGGGGCUGGUGCGUGGUUUCUCUCCUCCCAGGACGGGGAGGAGCGGAUCCCGGUGGAGCGAAAGAGAGCCUGAGGGUCGCCCGGGCCGGUCCCGCGCACCUCGGGUCACCAGUCCCGGGAUCUGUGUCCGGGCUUCUCUGUAGCUGAAUGCAACCGCUGGGCACGUUCCAGGCCCCAGGACUACGGAGACGCCCCUAUCCAGGCCUUGCCUCGGGUGGAGGGUGUCCGGGGGGAGCAGCCAGCUGGCGGCGCAGAGAAGCUGUGUGGAAAGAUCAGGUGUUCUGAGCCUGGUGGAGCAAGUGGUCCAGGCCGAGGGCACCGCAGAGUUGGGACAGGGCACCGACAGGCCAGAGAUGAGGCUAGGAGGGCCCUCAGGAAGGUUGUGGACCACCGAGAGACGGAGAAGCCCAGGGGAGGGUCGUCACCCGGGACGCCAGGCUGGGGUCCCUGGCUGCGUCCCAGGGUCGCGGGGUUCGGGGAGCAGGACAGCCCAGAACCUGCCGAGAGACCGGGUGGGAUGGGACCCCAAGCGAAGGGCGGCGCGCCCCGAAGUCAGGUCAGGGCUUCUCUUCGCUGCGACCCCAACCAUCCCCAGCUUCGUGUGGACCCCGGGGCAAUCUGUUCUGCGUGUUCUCCCAGAUCCAGGCUCUACCCUGUCUGUGGGGGCAGGCUCACCCCGAGUUCCUUGGGACCCGGGAGGAGCCUCCCCAUCAGGGGCCAGGCCAAAGCACCGCAAAAGCCUUGGGUAGGACGCUGCCUUCGUCUUUGGGGGCCUCAGCUUCCACGUGCGGCUCCGGUCCUGGGAGGUCUUCACCUGAGGGUUUGCUCUGUGCCUGGCUGACCCGCAGUUCACACCCUGCAACCCUGAAGGUGGGAAGGGCGGGGCACAGAGUGCGCAGAUCUCUUCGCGGGGAGGACCCUGACACCCGACUCCUAACGAUCCAAAUCCCGGGGUCGCUCAGAGCCACGGAGAAAUCGGGCAGAAGCCAAAGGAAGGAAGUGGGCGGGGUCGGCUCCCCGACAGCCUCCUACCAGAGGUCGAGGCCGAAGGGAAAAACAAAUGCGCUCGGAGGAACCAGCUCCUCUCCCUGAGCCUCUGUGCCCCGUGGUCCCGGCGCCCCCACCCGACGCCCCCGCGUCUCGAUCCCAACUCUCCCAUUCUCACUUCCUCCCUGGUUAUGCUCAGAAAGCAUCUGUGCAAAGGAUGAUUAAACAAGUGAAUGGAGAAUGGGGAAAGACAGGGAAUACGCCUGCUUCCCAGGCGCCCUCCAGGUCCUGCCCCCAAACAAGUGCAUCCAGGAAUGACCCUGGUACACUGAGCACACUGGUGGUCCCGACCUACCGGGAGCCUUCCAGCUGGAAGAUCUUCACACAGCACCACCCAGACUUGGAGAUCCUGGCAAGCCUGAAGUGCUCAAGGAAUGCCUUUUGGAUCUAGCCUUGCUUGGCUCAGAAGCUGGCAGGCAGAACCAGGAGACCCCAGAACCCUGAACAGAAGCAGAAAUUCCCUGAGCCCCCAGGGAAAUGUCACCUGAGGAGGUCAGGGGCUCGGAAUCCUGAGAGCUAAAUGAAUGAAGAGCUGAAGGUUUUUCUCACCUGGACCCGAGUCUUUCAAAGCAGAGCCUGUGAUAUGCCAUCUCUCUCCUGUGCUCAACAAAGACCACACGUGCUGAACAGAAGCUUGUUUGAAAGACUAACUAACCUCUGGGCCAGCAAACUUAUUUUUCUUUAAAGGGAAAUAAAAGCUGAAAAACAGGAUUUCCAGAAACAAAACACUUUCCUUCACUCAGAACGGGGAUUCAAGCUUAAUCAGGAUGGAAUCCAAAUAUGGAAAAAAAUAUGGCUGAAGAGUGAUUCAGAGAUGCACAUUUCACAAAAUUCACUUUCCUAGAUUGUCACUAGUAUUUUUAGGUUCUUUUCCAAGAGGAAAGCUGCUUCCUGUUAGUACCCAUUUGGAUACUGCAAGUUAAAAGUCAGGGCUCAUACCCAUCAGGAUGGCUACUAUCAUAAAAACAGAAAACAACAAGUGCUGGCAAUGAUGUGGAGAAGUUGGAACCCUUGUACACUGCUAGUGGGAAUGUAAAUUGGUACAGCCACUAUGGAGAAUAGUAUGGGGGUUCAUAAAAAAUUAAACAUGGAAUUAUAUGAUCAAUCAACUCCACCUCUGGAUAUACACACAAAAGAUUUGAAAGCAGGUUCUCAAAGAGAUAUUUAAAUCCAUGUUCAUAGGAGCAUUAUUCACAAUAGCCAAAAGGUGGAAGCAGCCCAAGUGUCCAUCUACAGAUGAUGGAUAAGCAAGAUGUGGUCCAUACAUACAAUGGAAUAUUACUCAACCUGAAAAAAAAACCUGUUACAUGCUACAGUAUGGAUGAACUGGGAGGACAUUGGGCUAAGUCAAUCUAGAGUAGUCAAAAUCAUAGGGACAGAGGGUAGAAUGGUGGUUGCCAGGAGCUAGGAGUAGUGGUGGGUGGGGAGUUACUCUUUAAUUGGGACAGAGUUUCAGUUUUGCAAGAUGAAGAGUUCUGGAGAUGGAUGGUGGUGAUGGUUGCACAACAAUAUGAAUAUACUUAAUAUCACCAAAAUGGCUAAGAUGGUAAAUAUUACAUGUUUUACCACACUUUAAGAAGUUGGAAAGAAAGUCAAGGCUGAAAAAUGGGCUUCC